Molecule: non-coding RNA, 103 nt
Organism: Acanthosepion pharaonis
Lineage: Eukaryota; Metazoa; Mollusca; Cephalopoda; Sepiida; Sepiidae
Source: the annotation of a GenBank genome assembly
CCGCAUCACGUUUAAACACCGAUUCCCAUACGAUAACCGAAGUUAAGCAAUAUCGAACCUGGUCAGUAUCUAGAUGGGUGACGGCUUGGAAAUACCAAGUGCU